UGGUAGAGAACCACAGCGUUUCUAUGUUCCC
This 31-nucleotide non-coding RNA is filed under the name Rattus norvegicus (Norway rat). The record is from RNAcentral. Lineage: Eukaryota; Metazoa; Chordata; Mammalia; Rodentia; Muridae.